GACGAACGCUGGCGGCGUGCUUAACACAUGCAAGUCGAACGCUGAAGCUCAGCUUUUGUUGGGUGGAUGAGUGGCGAACGGGUGAGUAACACGUGAGUAACCUGCCCCCUUCUUUGGGAUAAUGCCCGGAAACGGGUGCUAAUACUGGAUAUUCACUGGUCUUCGCAUGGGGGUUGGUGGAAAGGGUUUUUCUGGUGGGGGAUGGGCUCGCGGCCUAUCAGCUUGUUGGUGGGGUGAUGGCCUACCAAGGCUUUGACGGGUAGCCGGCCUGAGAGGGUGACCGGUCACAUUGGGACUGAGAUACGGCCCAGACUCCUACGGGAGGCAGCAGUGGGGAAUAUUGCACAAUGGGCGCAAGCCUGAUGCAGCGACGCCGCGUGAGGGAUGGAGGCCUUCGGGUUGUGAACCUCUUUCGCUCAUGGUCAAGCCGCAACAAUGGUUGUGGUGAGGGUAGUGGGUAAAGAAGCGCCGGCUAACUACGUG
RNAcentral lists this ribosomal RNA (483 nucleotides) under uncultured bacterium. RNAcentral's name for it is "partial 16S ribosomal RNA". It matches the Rfam family "Bacterial small subunit ribosomal RNA", at positions 28 to 507 of the family's 1533-position model. The record is from RNAcentral.